GACGAACGCUGGCGGCGUGCCUAAUACAUGCAAGUUGAGCGCUGAAGGUUGGUACUUGUACCAACUGGGUGAGCAGCGAACGGGUGAGUAACGCGUGGGGAAUCUGCCUUUGAGCGGGGGACAACAUUUGGAAACGAAUGCUAAUACCGCAUAAAAACUUUAAACACAAGUUUUAAGUUUGAAAGAUGCAAUUGCACCACUCAAAGAUGAUCCCGCGUUGUAUUAGCUAGUUGGUGAGGUAAAGGCUCACCAAGGCGAUGAUACAUAGCCGACCUGAGAGGGUGAUCGGCCACAUUGGGACUGAGACACGGCCCAAACUCCUACGGGAGGCAGCAGUAGGGAAUCUUCGGCAAUGGACGAAAGUCUGACCGAGCAACGCCGCGUGAGGGAAGAAGGUUUUCGGAUCGUAAAGCUCUGUUGGUAGAGAAGAACGUUGGUGAGAGUGGAAAGCUCAUCAAGUGACGGUAACUACCCAGAAAGGGACGGCUAACUACGUG
This 497-nucleotide ribosomal RNA is filed under the name uncultured bacterium. Its description in RNAcentral is "partial 16S ribosomal RNA". It matches the Rfam family "Bacterial small subunit ribosomal RNA", at positions 28 to 507 of the family's 1533-position model. The record is from RNAcentral.